RNAcentral lists this ribosomal RNA (420 nucleotides) under uncultured bacterium. RNAcentral describes it as "partial 16S ribosomal RNA". It matches the Rfam family "Bacterial small subunit ribosomal RNA", at positions 359 to 773 of the family's 1533-position model. The record is from RNAcentral.
GAAUCUUCCGCAAUGGGCGCAAGCCUGACGGAGCAACGCCGCGUGAGUGAUGAAGGUCUUCGGAUCGUAAAGCUCUGUUGCCAGGGAAGAACUUGCGUUUGUUGACUGCAGACGCAUUGACGGUACCUGAGAAGAAAGCCCCGGCUAACUACGUGCCAGCAGCCGCGGUAAUACGUAGGGGGCAAGCGUUGUCCGGAAUUAUUGGGCGUAAAGGGCGCGCAGGCGGCCUUUUAAGUCUCGUGUCUAAACCCGGAGCUCAACUUCGGGACGCACGGGAAACUGGGAGGCUUGAGUGCAGGAGAGGAAAGCGGAAUUCCACGUGUAGCGGUGAAAUGCGUAGAGAUGUGGAGGAACACCAGUGGCGAAGGCGGCUUUCUGGCCUGUAACUGACGCUGAGGCGCGAAAGCGUGGGGAGCAAAC